This 376-nucleotide unclassified non-coding RNA is filed under the name uncultured bacterium. RNAcentral describes it as "contains 16S-23S intergenic spacer region". The record is from RNAcentral.
UCUCGGCUUAUCACCGGCAGUCCCCCUAGAGUGCCCAACUGAAUGAUGGCAACUAAGGGCGAGGGUUGCGCUCGUUGCGGGACUUAACCCAACAUCUCACGACACGAGCUGACGACAACCAUGCACCACCUGUAAACCGACCGCAAGCGGGGCACCUGUCUCCAGGCGUUACCGGUUCAUGUCAAGCCUUGGUAAGGUUCUUCGCGUUGCAUCGAAUUAAACCACAUGCUCCACCGCUUGUGCGGGUCCCCGUCAAUUCCUUUGAGUUUCAACCUUGCAGUCGUACUCCCCAGGCGGAGUGCUUAAUGCGUUAGCUGCGCCACCCAAGCUCUAUGAGCCCGGACAGCUAGUUAUCAUCGUUUACGGCGUGGACUAC